This 484-nucleotide ribosomal RNA is filed under the name uncultured bacterium. RNAcentral describes it as "partial 16S ribosomal RNA". It matches the Rfam family "Bacterial small subunit ribosomal RNA", at positions 28 to 505 of the family's 1533-position model. The record is from RNAcentral.
GAUGAACGCUGGCGGCGUGCCUAAUACAUGCAAGUCGAACGCUGGAAAUCUAGCUUGCUAGAUUGAAGGAGUGGCGAACGGGUGAGUAAUACAUAAGCAACCUACCCACGAAGACUGGGAUAAUCUCUGGAAACGGGGACUAAUACCGGAUAGGUAAUCGGAAGGCAUCUUCUGAUUAUUAAAGGUUAAAAACACUGGUGGAUGGGCUUAUGGCGCAUUAGUUAGUUGGUGAGGUAACGGCCCACCAAGACGAUGAUGCGUAGCCGGCCUGAGAGGGUGAACGGCCACAUUGGGACUGAGACACGGCCCAGACUCCUACGGGAGGCAGCAGUAGGGAAUUUUCGGCAAUGGGGGAAACCCUGACCGAGCAACGCCGCGUGAGUGAUGACGGCCUUCGGGUUGUAAAGCUCUGUUGUAAGGGAAGAACGGUAGAUAGAGAAUAUCUAAAUGACGGUACCUUACCAGAAAGCCACGGCUAACUACG